Aurantimonas sp. is the source of this 144-nucleotide non-coding RNA. The record is from Rfam. NCBI's taxonomy places the organism in Bacteria, Pseudomonadati, Pseudomonadota, Alphaproteobacteria, Hyphomicrobiales, Aurantimonadaceae.
UCCCGGUCUCCAAAGCCGGGAAUACUGAAGAGGCACACCCUCAUUGCCUUAAGUGCGGCGGGUCCAAGCCCUCCAAGCCAAGGCAGACAUAACGGCGGACGACGCUAUGGCAGCGUUUGAUUCGUCGCUCGAGUCGCGUUUCGC